CCAUAGACUUCAUCUGUGGGAGGAGUCAGAAUGGUUUCCUAGCAAUAAUGCCUAGUGUUAGAACUGUCAAUUACUAGACAAACCAGGCUAAAGGAGUGUCAAGGGAUACUUACUGAGGCCAAUGUAAUUCUGUCAUCCCAAAUAAGGAUUCUCAAGCAGAGUUGCAUUCACCACAUGUCUGAGAAAUGAUGAAGAGGAACUGAAGAACGGGAAUAAAAGAUGAAUGGAAGAACUGCAGUAUUUGUGCCAGAGGAGAAACAGUCAGAAUAUUCAGAGAGGGUGAGCAUGACUUGGCUGUCUCAGAGUCAGAACUGGCACAGAUGGAAAUUAUGAUUUGCAGAUGAAAAACCAGCAGAGAAGAAAAGACUAAGAUGCUCAUCCUUUCUCACCAUACAGUCUGCAGGCAGAAGCUUUUCUCUUUCCCAAACAGUUAAAACUCUGUUUGGACAUGACACAAACUUCGGAUCGGCAGAGGCAGGACCAGAAGAAGGAAG
Molecule: non-coding RNA, 494 nt
Organism: Pogona vitticeps (central bearded dragon)
Lineage: Eukaryota; Metazoa; Chordata; Lepidosauria; Squamata; Agamidae
Source: RefSeq, a predicted model, not a curated record